Molecule: transfer RNA, 79 nt
Filed under: Perkinsus marinus ATCC 50983
Lineage: Eukaryota; Perkinsozoa; Perkinsida; Perkinsidae
Rfam family: tRNA
About the family: Transfer RNA (tRNA) molecules are approximately 80 nucleotides in length. Their secondary structure includes four short double-helical elements and three loops (D, anti-codon, and T loops).
Source: Rfam by way of RNAcentral
GACACUUUGCCCGAGUGGUAAGGCGGCGGCCUGCUAAGCCGUUGGCUCUGCCGCGGGAGUUCGAAUCUCCCAGGUGUCG